RNAcentral lists this ribosomal RNA (482 nucleotides) under uncultured bacterium. RNAcentral's name for it is "partial 16S ribosomal RNA". It matches the Rfam family "Bacterial small subunit ribosomal RNA", at positions 30 to 507 of the family's 1533-position model. The record is from RNAcentral.
AUUGAACGCUGGCGGCAUGCCUUACACAUGCAAGUCGAACGGUAACGGGCCUUCGGGUGCCGACGAGUGGCGAACGGGUGAGUAAUACAUCGGAACGUGCCCGAUCGUGGGGGAUAACGAGGCGAAAGCUUUGCUAAUACCGCAUACGAUCUACGGAUGAAAGCAGGGGACCGCAAGGCCUUGGGCGGACGGAGCGGCCGCUGGCAGAUUAGGUAGUUGGUGGGAUAAAAGCUUACCAAGCCGACGAUCUGUAGCUGGUCUGAGAGGAUGAUCAGCCACACUGGGACUGAGACACGGCCCAGACUCCUACGGGAGGCAGCAGUGGGGAAUUUUGGACAAUGGGCGCAAGCCUGAUCCAGCCAUGCCGCGUGCAGGAUGAAGGCCUUCGGGUUGUAAACUGCUUUUGUACGGAACGAAAAGCCUUCUUUUAAUACAGGAGGGUCAUGACGGUACCGUAAGAAUAAGCACCGGCUAACUACGUG